Molecule: ribosomal RNA, 460 nt
Filed under: uncultured bacterium
Lineage: Bacteria
Description: partial 16S ribosomal RNA
Rfam family: Bacterial small subunit ribosomal RNA
Source: RNAcentral
CCUACGGGUGGCAGCAGUGAGGAAUAUUGGUCAAUGGGCGGGAGCCUGAACCAGCCAAGUCGCGUGAGGGAAGACGGUCCUAUGGAUUGUAAACCUCUUUUGGCGGGGAGUAAUGCCGGGCACGCGUGCCCGGAGGGAGAGUACCCGCAGAUUAAGCAUCGGCUAAUUCCGUGCCAGCAGCCGCGGGAAUACGGAGGCUGCGAGCGUUAUCCGGAUUUAUUGGGUUUAAAGGGUGCGUAGGCGGACUUUUAAGUCAGCGGUAAAAUGUCCGGGCUCAACCCGGGCCGGCCGUUGAAACUGGGUGUCUUGAGUGGACGAGAGGUAGGCGGAAUGCGUGGUGUAGCGGUGAAAUGCAUAGAUAUCACGCAGAACUCCGAUUGCGAAGGCAGCAUACCGGCGCCCGACUGACGCUGAGGCACGAAGGCGUGGGGAUCGAACAGGAUUAGAUACCCCUGUAGUC